Astatotilapia calliptera (eastern happy) is the source of this 2250-nucleotide long non-coding RNA. NCBI's taxonomy places the organism in Eukaryota, Metazoa, Chordata, Actinopteri, Cichliformes, Cichlidae. The record is from Ensembl.
ACCAACCAGUACACCAGGAGAGAAGACCACAGCACACCGAGCAGAGGGAACGAUGCACGUCUCCUAGGGGUUCUGACAAGAGGGAUUUUCACUAUCCUUUCCUCGUUUGGUUUUCCCAAGAGAACUUAAGGACUGGCUCAACAUCACGAGCGAGCUCUGGUUUGACUUGUUUGGUGAGGAUAAUGAGACGCAGUGACUGUGACGCUUUUUUGAAAAGAAGUCGAAUGAAUGAGAAACGGUGAGAUCAAUUUCUCUUAUUUGGGGAGGUAAAGGUACAUUUUUUUUUCAGCGCAAUUGUUUGUGAAGAAAGAACGAAAUUAAGAAAGAUAGAAAGAAAGCGAAAGGAGGUGCAGAGAAGGGAAAGAAAAAGAAGCUUUGACACACGCACGGAAGAGAGGAAGAUUUUCCGAACAGAUACCCUAUUAAAAACAGAUAUCCCUGUUCAUUUUUGAGAUAUUCAGCGGUAAGAAAAAAAAGUCAAGGGGAUAUACAUAUUUUUUAAAAGACAGAAAAAGAGGGAACGCGCAGUAUACAUAAGAGCACAGGAGGAGAGGCAUAUAAGAAGGGAAAACGCCACAGAGCCUAAUAUUUUCCGACUGAAGAGGAGAUGCAGCUGAGGGGAAGUGUGGAUUUGAAGCUCUCCCUCCCUCUCUAUCACUUUUCUGCAAUGGAACGGGACGGAAUAGAGAGGUACUGACGACAAGCACCGCUAAAACCUAGCGGAGAGUGGAUUUAAAGACAGAGAGGCAACCUGUGCGCCCGUCCCUUCCACCCCUCUGCUUCUCUGGGCUUUUUUUUUCUCUCCCUCGGUGGAUGUUGACUGAAUUUAUUAGAUUUUUUUUUUCGGAUAUGAAGGAUUUAUCUAGUCUAUGUUAGAAGGAGGCGGCAAAGAAAACGCACGCGUCUCCGGUUUCUCUCCCCCUCUCUCUUUCUCUCUCUAUCUCUCCCACUCUCUCUCUCCCUCCGUUUUCUGGAUGUGAAGCAGCAUGCGGCCCGGUGAGAGCUUAGAGGGCUCGAGCUCGGCUCACGGAAGAUGUAUUGAUGCUAAUAAUAUUACUAAUAGCGGCACGGAACGCUGUCUCACGCACCUCUCGUCGGCUACGAGGAGGAUGAAGAGGGUGACGACGAAGAGGAGGAUGAGGGGGACGAACGAGAGGAUGAGGGACGGAGGAAUGACGGCGAUGCGCUGUUUUCUGUGGAGUCUCGUUCUCUGCUCGCUCUCAUCGCGCGCCCAAGGUAAGGGGAUGCGACACCCGCAAACACACAGACACACGCGCGCAUACACAGACAGUUAAUAAGCGAACCCACACGCAGUCACACGGUUUGAGUGAGAAUGGCCGGCAGUACAUUUUUUUCUUCUUCUUCUUUUAAUUUUUUCUUCUUUUUCUUUACUGAUGCAGUCAAGCGCGCGCGCGUUUGUAAAGAGGAAAGUGUGGGUGUGCUUCUGCUAGUGUGCGAGAGGUGUCUGCGUGCGCGCGAGGAUGUCUGCGAGGUGUCAGUGCAAGAGUGUGAGUGAGAAGGGGUUGGGGAUGUAUGCGUGGAUGUAUGGUGUGUUGCGGGGCAAAGCAGAGAAAAGGGAAUUGGCAUACAGGUAGGAUGAAGGGAAAGAGGGAGAGAUGAGUGGAACAGGCAACAGCUUCUCUCCCUCUUUCCUCGUUUUCUGGUUGCUUCAGUUUGCUCUCUCUCUCUCUCUCUCUCUCUCUCUCUCUCUCUCUCUCAUCCUUCUCUUCAAUACAGCCAUUGAGCUGGUAGCCAAUAAAUAUUCUUGCGGUAGCUCUUGGGCUGUGGCAGCGAACGUGAGUUGCUUAUACCAAAGUGUGUGCGGGAGUGUGUUUGUCUGUGUGUGUGUGUGCAUGAGUGUGAACGUGAGUUGCUUCUAGUGAUGAGGCCCAAGCCUUACACAGCAUUUUAUUCCCAAACCUCCUCCACCAUGACCAUUUCUUCUUCUUCUUCUUCUUCUUCUUUUUUUUUCUGAAACUGCAUUUCAGUCAAAAGAUGUUAUAUAAUUCUGGUGUCCCCCCCACCACCUCUUUUUCUUUUCUAUCUUAGACACUUUCUGUCCUUGUCCUUGCUCUUUCUCUUCCCCCUCCCUCUCUCCUCCUUGUUUCACUUGCUCCCACUCUUUCCUUUCUUGAGUGAAAUAAAAUGUUAAAAUAUUCACAGCGUGGCACCCCCUCUCCUGCCUUCUUUGUCUGUCUUUCCCUGCUUUCCAUUUUUAGUCCUGUCUUUCUGAUCCUUUUCAAAAAUGUC